ACGAAGGACCCGAGCGUUAUCCGGAUUUAUUGGGUUUAAAGGGUGCGUAGGCGGACUUUCAAGUCAGUGGUGAAAGCCCAUCGCUCAACGAUGGAAUUGCCAUUGAUACUGUUGGUCUUGAGUACGGUUGAAGUGGGCGGAAUGUGUCAUGUAGCGGUGAAAUGCUUAGAUAUGACACAGAACACCUAUUGCGAAGGCAGCUCGCUAAGCCGUAACUGACGCUGAGGCACGAAAGUGUGGGUAGCAAACAGGAUUAGAUACCCUGGUAGUCCACACCCUAAACGAUGAUAACUCGAUGUUGGCGAUACACAGUCAGCGUCUAAGCGAAAGCAUUAAGUUAUCCACCUGGGAAGUACGACCGCAAGGUUG
This 369-nucleotide ribosomal RNA is filed under the name uncultured bacterium. Its description in RNAcentral is "bacterial SSU rRNA". It matches the Rfam family "Bacterial small subunit ribosomal RNA", at positions 525 to 896 of the family's 1533-position model. The record is from RNAcentral.